UUCGCAAUGCCCGAAAGGGUGACGAAGCGACGCCGCGUGCGGGAAGAAGGCCUUCGGGUUGUAAACCGCUGUCGGGAGUUAAGAAAUGUAAGGAUGUUAAUAGCAUCUUUGCUUGACUAAGGCUCCGGAGGAAGCCACGGCUAACUCUGUGCCAGCAGCCGCGGUAAUACAGAGGCGGCAAGCGUUGUUCGGAAUUAUUGGGCGUAAAGAGUACGUAGGCGGCUAUGUAAGUCGGUUGUGAAAGCCUUCCGCUCAACGGGAGAACAGCAUCCGAUACUGCAUGGCUUGAGUGCGGGAGGGGAGAGUGGAACUUCUGGUGGAGCGGUGAAAUGCGUAGAUAUCAGAAGGAACGCCGGCGGCGAAAGCGGCUCUCUGGCCCAUAACUGACGCUGAGUGUGCGAAAGCUAGGGGAGCAAACGGGAUUAGAUACCCCGGUAGUCCUAGCCGUAAACGAUGGGCACUAAGUAGAGGGGUUUU
This 477-nucleotide ribosomal RNA is filed under the name uncultured Planctomycetales bacterium. RNAcentral describes it as "bacterial SSU rRNA". It matches the Rfam family "Bacterial small subunit ribosomal RNA", at positions 365 to 832 of the family's 1533-position model. The record is from RNAcentral. Lineage: Bacteria; Pseudomonadati; Planctomycetota; Planctomycetia; Planctomycetales.